Long non-coding RNA from Arachis duranensis, 806 nucleotides. RefSeq lists it as uncharacterized. The transcript has 3 exons. NCBI's taxonomy places the organism in Eukaryota, Viridiplantae, Streptophyta, Magnoliopsida, Fabales, Fabaceae. The record is from RefSeq and is a predicted model, not a curated record.
ACAAAACCAACGUAACUCCCUGCCACUCUUAUUCAAUUUCUACAUACAAAUCCCUUCUUUAACUGCAUGAACUCGGCCCUCUUUCAUCUACUAUUCUGAACAACCCCUAUUUUCUAAAUCCUUUCCUUAUUCACUAUUUUGUGUUUGAUUGCAAAUUUGUUUCGGAAGAAUAAGGUGUUGAUAAUCUCUGUCUAUUGUGAUUUUGUUGUUUUGGGAUCAGCGCCAUUCGUGUGAAAUCGCCAAAGAAAUUCUCAAAAUUGCCGAAAUCACGAUUGUCUAGGCAAAUUCGUAUCAUAAUGAAGACCGAAAGGAACCCUAAAUUGCUCCAUUUGCGCCUCUCUCAACGGCAAAGAGAAGAUCGUUUCCUUUAGGCGCCACUGGCUUCGGAAAAAAGAAAGCACCAGGCUUAGAACGACCCACCUUAGCAGUCAAAGGUUCUGUACCCUAGGUAGAGGUGAUGUAGAAUAAGAACGAACCUUUAACGCACCUAUGAACUACAAAAGCACGAACCUCUCAUCACUUAUCAUGGUCACAUUUUUAACAUUAUUUUCAAAAUGAGUGGAGAAAAGUUGUUGCCCUUUCAAAAAUAGCGAAAGAAUCAUUUGGUUUGAAUGAGUCCCCAAAAGCUUGAAUAGCAUGAGAGUCGGUGAAAGAGCCAACAAAGAGAUCCUCUUGCACUCAACAACUUCGAGGUAUCAUGCCAAAGGAUAAUUUUAAGAAGAAAAAUAUUAGGCGAUUAAGUAGAGUAUCUUUUAUCAAUAAUAGAUAGGUGAGGUCUAUGGUGGUCUAACAAUAAGUGACUAAAU